RNAcentral lists this ribosomal RNA (305 nucleotides) under uncultured bacterium. RNAcentral describes it as "partial 16S ribosomal RNA". It matches the Rfam family "Bacterial small subunit ribosomal RNA", at positions 508 to 807 of the family's 1533-position model. The record is from RNAcentral.
ACAGCAGUAGCCGCGGUAAAACGGAGGGUGCAAGCGUUGUCCGGAUUUAUUGGGUUUAAAGGGUGCGUAGGCGGCCUAAUAAGUCAGUGGUGAAAGCCUCCAGCUUAACUGGAGAACUGCCAUUGAUACUGUUAGGCUUGAGUAUACUUGAGGUAGGCGGAAUUGACAGUGUAGCGGUGAAAUGCAUAGAUAUUGUUAAGAACACCAAUUGCGAAGGCAGCUUACUAAAUUAUAACUGACGCUGAGGCACGAAAGUGUGGGUAUCAAACAGGAUUAGAUACCCCGGUAGUCCCUGUCUCUUAUAC